AUACAGUCUUUCUUAGGAAGCUAGGGAGGAUGUGCUGCCCCCGAACAGGGGACAGAACCCAAAAUGGGAAAUAGAUGAGUCAGAAAAUGAGGUUUCUACCAAGACACAAGGCAAAUGUGAUCUCUGGGAUGACAGCAAAGCAGAUCACAGAUGACACUGGGCACCAAAUACGGAGGCACUGGGACAGGUCGAGGGACACCGGGAGACGCUGUGGCGAAAAGAUAAAAAUGAUGGACCUUCGGACGCAUCAGAGGAGAUUGAGCAAAUUGGUGAGGUUUGGGGCUGGAUUCACUGUAAGCACAUAGAAACCAGACAAAUAGGGAGGAAGAGCAAGAAAGGAAAAGGAAAAUAAUCACAGUACACAAUAUAUAGCCUGGCAUGAAUAACAUCAUGUGUCAUCAUAAUAUAGAAACUGACUGCUGAUCUAACCACAAUUUUGAGAUGUCCAUAUUGGGAAUAUAAAGCACAGAAAUGCACAUUUGCAAGAUGUGGGGAGCAGUGAAAGACAGCAAAUCCUCGGCUUCUGCAGGGGAACGUCACAGACCACCCACCAUGCUUCUGGACCACUCACCUGAGAUGGGCCUAGUGCUGCAAUGGGCACGGAUGUGCCAGCUACGAACCACUCCCUACCCUGAUGCCAAUUAUCACUGAGUAGCUUCUUUUCUCUGAUGAACUUGCUUUUUCUGCAUAGCUUGUUUUUUCUCAGAAUACAGUCUACAGCAUCUGUGUCAUCAUUAUCCUGCCUACAGCUUCCAUGAAGUUUCUUUUUUCUUUUUUGGCCAUGCCCAUGGCACACAGAAGUUUCAGGGCCAGGGAUCAAACCUGCGCCACAGUUGCUACCGGAGCCACUGCAAUGACAACACGGGAUCCUUAGCCUUCUGUGCCACUAGGAAACUCCCUGUUAAGGUUCUUCAUCUGCCUGCCUAUCUGUCUUGAAGGUCAGGAAUGCUACAUUUUACAGUAAGUAGCAGACUGAUUAACUUGCUCUCUCUGCCCAAGGACGAAAGGACAACCUUCAAUGUUUCUGUAGUCUCACUUCUUUCUUCCACAGUGAGGAAAUCUGUACCCUAUUUCCCCACCUCACUGGUUACUCCCCCCGUGAGGAGAAAGAGUGGCCAGUUGGUUGGUACGUGUCAACAGGGGGUACCUCCAAAGUAAGAUGGCUCCACUUCCCUGCUUCCUAGACCUGGAUGUGUGGGGAUAGACAGAGCUCUCCUCUCCACUUCCUGUUGCUUCAGGCCAGCCUCUUCUCUCAGGUCCAGUUUCUCAGCAUGAGACUGGGUGGAUCUAUUGGAUCAGCCUUGCUGUCUUCAAUUCAAGGGGAAGGAAUAGAAAACUUCAUUUUGUAUAAUCUAGCUCGACCAAGAAGCCUUACACUGAAUAAACCUGAUACUUUGC
RNAcentral lists this long non-coding RNA (1398 nucleotides) under Sus scrofa (pig). RNAcentral's name for it is "lncRNA (ENSSSCG00000056798.1, ENSSSCG00105013893.1)". Lineage: Eukaryota; Metazoa; Chordata; Mammalia; Artiodactyla; Suidae. The record is from RNAcentral.